UACAGAGGUCUCAAGCGUUGUUCGGAUUCAUUGGGCGUAAAGGGUGCGUAGGUGGCGCGGUAAGUCGGGUGUGAAAUUUCGGAGCUUAACUCCGAAACUGCAUUCGAUACUGCCGUGCUUGAGGACUGGAGAGGAGACUGGAAUUUACGGUGUAGCGGUGAAAUGCGUAGAGAUCGUAAGGAAGACCAGUGGCGAAGGCGGGUCUCUGGACAGUUCCUGACGCUGAGGCACGAAGGCCAGGGGAGCAAACGGG
RNAcentral lists this ribosomal RNA (253 nucleotides) under uncultured bacterium. RNAcentral describes it as "partial 16S ribosomal RNA". It matches the Rfam family "Bacterial small subunit ribosomal RNA", at positions 524 to 776 of the family's 1533-position model. The record is from RNAcentral.